GACGAACGCUGGCGGCGUGCUUAACACAUGCAAGUCGAACGGUGAAGCGCCUUCCUUUUUGGUGGGUGUGGAUGAGUGGCGAACGGGUGAGUAACACGUGAGUAACCUGCCCCCUUCUUCUGGAUAACCGCAUGAAAGUGUGGCUAAUACGGGAUAUUCUGGGUCUGUCGCAUGAUGGGUCUGGGAAAGAUAUUGUUUCGGUGGGGGAUGGGCUCGCGGCCUAUCAGCUUGUUGGUGGGGUGAUGGCCUACCAAGGCGGUGACGGGUAGCCGGCCUGAGAGGGGGGGCGGGCAGAAUGGGGGAGAAACACCGGCCGGGCGCACGAGGGGGGGAGGGGGGGGGAAUUAUGGACAAUGGGCGGAAGGCUGGAGGCGGCGCGGCGGGGGGGGGGAGGGGGCCUUGGGGGUGGGGAACUUUUUCGGCAGGGGAAGAGGCCCCGCCUUUUGUGGGGGGGGGUGGAGGGUGGGUGAUAAAAAGGCCCGGCCAAAGUCGGUC
RNAcentral lists this ribosomal RNA (495 nucleotides) under uncultured bacterium. Its description in RNAcentral is "partial 16S ribosomal RNA". The stretch from base 12 to 381 matches the Rfam family "Bacterial small subunit ribosomal RNA", at positions 39 to 400 of the family's 1533-position model. The record is from RNAcentral.